UCUGAUGUUACCUAGACCCGAACAAAAGACGACUGAGUAGCAGAUCCGUUUAUGGAGCUCCAUAUUUUGACACACACAAAGCUGGCACAAAGCCAAGAACUAUGUUUUGUUGCUCGUAAGGUACUAGUAAUGUGGAGUGCAUAUGGACUUUGGGACCUGUCGGUCGUAAUAUUGAAUCGAGAACGUCCUUGAUUGAAUCAUGUGACAUAUUUAUAGUUUCUUGACGUUCCUUUGGACACUCUGCCAGCCGUCAUGCCGACAGCGAUGUUCGAUUUACCUAGCUGUCCCGUCUUGUUCCUGUUCCUGUCCUUGUUGACUGCUGGGGAAACAAUGGCUCUGUCCAUUCCCGGUGCCAGACGUCAACAUACAGCUGAACUGUGGAUACCAGAAAGCAGACCACAUUGGGCCACCUCAAAGUCCUGGCUAGCUACAUGUAGGAACUGAGCUUUGAGAAAACAAUGGCAAUGAAAAUUUAUGGAAAGGAAUGCAAUUUAUAGUACUGUCACGAGUGUGGAUUAUUGUCUUAUGACUACUGUAUGUGAUCACAUAUUAUUUCCCAAGAACUACUGAUACUUGUAACCUUAAGCCAGCAUUUUCAUUGUCAGAUUUGGAAAAAUAUGAGCAGAUUACAAUAGUGAACAUUAUAACAAUGCUUUGAACAUGCACGCACUUGUACCAAUGAGGGAAAUUUUACUGCAUUACAUAUGUACGUGAAGGAUUUCAAAGCUUGAAUUAAAAAAAAUCACUGUAGAUCUUUGCAGUUUAUUCCCCUAAUGUAAAAAAAAUGAUUGAAAAUCACUUGUAGCCCAGGUGCAGAGUGGUCAUUGUGUGAAUUAUUUUGGUAUCAGAUUAACCAUUCAGUGAAGAAGUUCCUAAUCUUGCUUGUGAUUGUUGAGGAAUGGCCACAUUGCAGGAACAAAGUUGAGCUACAGUAGAAUCAGUGAAGUCAGGUUUAAGUCAAAGUAGUUCGGAGUAUAUGUUAAGUCUUAUGACUCCAGUACAUGAUCACAUAUAUUUCCCUGUGGAUUAUUGAUAUGUGAAGCAUUACGAGAAAGGUAGCUGAAAACACUGGUUUGACUGUCAUGUGUGUCAAUAAAAUCACACAAAUCUUGGUAUUUCA
Long non-coding RNA from Branchiostoma belcheri (Belcher's lancelet), 1120 nucleotides. RefSeq lists it as uncharacterized. The transcript is spliced from 2 exons. Lineage: Eukaryota; Metazoa; Chordata; Leptocardii; Amphioxiformes; Branchiostomatidae. The record is from RefSeq and is a predicted model, not a curated record.